Molecule: ribosomal RNA, 570 nt
Filed under: uncultured Lachnospiraceae bacterium
Lineage: Bacteria; Bacillati; Bacillota; Clostridia; Lachnospirales; Lachnospiraceae
Description: bacterial SSU rRNA
Rfam family: Bacterial small subunit ribosomal RNA
Source: RNAcentral
GUGGGUAACCUGCCUUAUACAGGGGGAUAACAGUCAGAAAUGGCUGCUAAUACCGCAUAAGCGCACAGAGCUGCAUGGCUCAGUGUGAAAAACUCCGGUGGUAUAAGAUGGACCCGCGUUGGAUUAGCUAGUUGGUGGGGUAACGGCCCACCAAGGCGACGAUCCAUAGCCGGCCUGAGAGGGUGAACGGCCACAUUGGGACUGAGACACGGCCCAGACUCCUACGGGAGGCAGCAGUGGGGAAUAUUGCACAAUGGGGGAAACCCUGAUGCAGCGACGCCGCGUGAAGGAAGAAGUAUCUCGGUAUGUAAACUUCUAUCAGCAGGGAAGAUAGUGACGGUACCUGACUAAGAAGCCCCGGCUAACUACGUGCCAGCAGCCGCGGUAAUACGUAGGGGGCAAGCGUUAUCCGGAUUUACUGGGUGUAAAGGGAGCGUAGACGGUGUGGCAAGUCUGAUGUGAAAGGCAUGGGCUCAACCUGUGGACUGCAUUGGAAACUGUCAUACUUGAGUGCCGGAGGGGUAAGCGGAAUUCCUAGUGUAGCGGUGAAAUGCGUAGAUAUUAGGAGGA